This 507-nucleotide ribosomal RNA is filed under the name uncultured bacterium. Its description in RNAcentral is "bacterial SSU rRNA". It matches the Rfam family "Bacterial small subunit ribosomal RNA", at positions 28 to 525 of the family's 1533-position model. The record is from RNAcentral.
GAUGAACGCUAGCGGGAGGCUUAAUACAUGCAAGUCGAGCGGUAACUGACCGAUAGCAAUAUUGGUUAGCUAGAGCGGCGCACGGGUGAGUAACGCGUACAUAACCUACCCUAUACUGGGGGAUAGCCUUGGGAAACUGAGAUUAAUACCCCAUGGUAUUAUUUGGCCACCUGGUUGAAUAAUUAAAGUUGCGGCGGUAUAGGAUGGGUGUGCGUCUGAUUAGCUAGUUGGUAGGGUAACGGCCUACCAAGGCGAUGAUCAGUAGGGGGCGUGAGAGCGUGGUCCCCCACACGGGUACUGAGACACGGACCCGACUCCUACGGGAGGCAGCAGUAAGGAAUAUUGGUCAAUGGCGGAGACGCUGAUCCAGCUAUCCCGCGUGCAGGAUGAAGGGCCUCUGGCUUGUAAACUGCUUUAGACUGAGACGAAAAAAUGGGAUUUUUCCUUAUAUUGACGGUAUCAGUAGAAUAAGCACCGGCUAACUCCGUGCCAGCAGCCGCGGUAAUU